Molecule: long non-coding RNA, 1290 nt
Organism: Rosa rugosa (rugosa rose)
Lineage: Eukaryota; Viridiplantae; Streptophyta; Magnoliopsida; Rosales; Rosaceae
Exons: 6
Source: RefSeq, a predicted model, not a curated record
UGAUUUUAUCUUGGAGAAAGAAAUAAAUGGUUCAGAUUCCACCUCUCUCUUCUCUCAGAGGCCCAGCUCCACAGCUCCUGUGCUCUUCACCUCUCUCUUCUCUCGACUUUGCCCGCCUCAGCUUGUCAAAACGGCAAAACCUAAACUGCAGUCGCCAUCUCUCCUCUCUCUCUCUCUCUAGUCUCUCCGGCACGGGCCCUCUCCCUCUCAGCCUCUCUCCUCGGCCGUCGAUGGCCCUCGCUCUCCUCAACGGUGACUCCGGUGACGUUUAAAUUGAGAUGGGUUCGUGAAGCGGCUCCCUCCAACUAGUUCGCAAGAAGGAGCUCUCCGACUACCAGUAUAGUCCUUUUAAUCCUCACUAUGUUGAAGACGUUAAUGGCUUUAGUGGUGAGGAGGAGGAGCUCUCGGGUUCAAGAGGUGGGCCCGUCUACAUUGAGAUCAGUCUGAGUGGUCCUCUCACCAGUGUCGGUCUCUUCCAGUCUUCUAUUCUCCAAGAGCUUCAGGUUCAUCGCAACUUAUUCAAAGAGGUAGAUUGGGGCCUAUAUAUAUAUAUAUAUAUCAUUCAGCAAAUUAGAGAGCAUAUUUGAGUAUGAUGAACGUUUCAAAGUAGUUGAAAGAGAUAGAGACCGCAGGAUUAUUUUGAUAGCUAUUUGGAGGAACUUCAGAAGAAAAUAUCAUAGAUCAACAUGUUCGUAAAGGAACUAAUCUAUAGCCAGUCCCUGACAAGGAGCACUCAUGCUGAAGGUUCGUAAUAAAGGUUAGAUACCAGCUUUUAUGAGGUUUUAGAGCCUUCUUCAGUGUACAAUCAAAGACAAAUGACACUUAAAAGAAAGAGUACAGGGAAGCAAAAUGAUGUACCAUUUAGUUGCCCUUUUUCUGUAUUGCAAUAUUGAAAUCGAUGUUAUAUAUGGUACUUAAUGAGUUUGCUCUAUUUGUGUUUUCAGAUUUGGUCAAUAACCUUGGUGCCAUUGCAAGGUCUAGCACCAAGGAAUUCAUGGAAGUCUAGGCUGCUGGAGCUGAUGUUAGCAUGACUGGUCAGUUUGGUGUCGGGUUCUACUUUGGAUAUCUUGUUGCUGAGAAGGAAGAGGAAGGAAAGGUAUAGAGUUCGGAAGUUGAUGAAGACGUACAAGGAAGUGGACUAGUACAAUAUGUUUCUGGCCUUGAUGUUUUUGGGCUUUAUGUUUAGGUAGGGUUAGUAUGUUAAUGUUGGGGUGAUGAUGGAAUGAAUUGGUUUUGAAUGUUUAAUCAAUGGAUAUGUUUUUGACUGUUGGUCAAUUGGUUUUGGUUAAA